RNAcentral lists this ribosomal RNA (500 nucleotides) under uncultured sulfate-reducing bacterium. Its description in RNAcentral is "bacterial SSU rRNA". It matches the Rfam family "Bacterial small subunit ribosomal RNA", at positions 227 to 718 of the family's 1533-position model. The record is from RNAcentral.
GGGCCCGCGUUUCAUUAGCUAGUUGGUAGGGUAAUGGCCUACCAAGGCAACGAUGAGUAGCUGGUCUGAGAGGAUGAUCAGCCACACUGGAACUGAAACACGGUCCAGACUCCUACGGGAGGCAGCAGUGGGGAAUAUUGCGCAAUGGGCGAAAGCCUGACGCAGCAACGCCGUGUGAGGGAUGAAGGCUUUCGGGUCGUAAACCUCUGUCGGAAGGGAAGAACGGGCAUUGGUCUAAUAGGCCUUUGUUUUGACGGUACCUUUAGAGGAAGCACCGGCUAACUCCGUGCCAGCAGCCGCGGUAAUACGGAGGGUGCAAGCGUUAAUCGGAAUUACUGGGCGUAAAGCGCACGUAGGCUGUAGUGUAAGUCAGGGGUGAAAUCCCACGGCUCAACCGUGGAACUGCCUUUGAUACUGCACAACUUGAAUCCGGGAGAGGGUGGCGGAAUUCCAGGUGUAGGAGUGAAAUCCGUAGAUAUCUGGAGGAACAUCAGUGGCGA